This 253-nucleotide ribosomal RNA is filed under the name uncultured bacterium. Its description in RNAcentral is "partial 16S ribosomal RNA". It matches the Rfam family "Bacterial small subunit ribosomal RNA", at positions 524 to 776 of the family's 1533-position model. The record is from RNAcentral.
UACGUAGGGUGCGAGCGUUGUCCGGAAUUACUGGGCGUAAAGAGCUCGUAGGUGGUUUGUCGCGUUGUUCGUGAAAACUCACAGCUUAACUGUGGGCGUGCGGGCGAUACGGGCAGACUGGAGUACUGCAGGGGAGACUGGAAUUCCUGGUGUAGCGGUGGAAUGCGCAGAUAUCAGGAGGAACACCGGUGGCGAAGGCGGCUACCUGGACAAAAACUGACGCUGAGGCGCGAAAGCUAGGGGAGCAAACAGG